CGAACGGGUGAGUAAUACAUCGGAACGUGCCCGAUCGUGGGGGAUAACGAGGCGAAAGCUUUGCUAAUACCGCAUACGAUCUACGGAUGAAAGCGGGGGAUCUUCGGACCUCGCGCGGACGGAGCGGCCGAUGGCAGAUUAGGUAGUUGGUGGGAUAAAAGCUUACCAAGCCGACGAUCUGUAGCUGGUCUGAGAGGGUGAUCGGCCACACUGGGACUGAGACACGGCCCAG
Molecule: ribosomal RNA, 232 nt
Filed under: uncultured bacterium
Lineage: Bacteria
Description: partial 16S ribosomal RNA
Rfam family: Bacterial small subunit ribosomal RNA
Source: RNAcentral